GUAUUAUGUAUUGUAAACUUCUUUUGUUGGGGAAUAAAGUGUAGGACGUGUCCUAUUUUGUAUGUACCCAACGAAUAAGCAUCGGCUAACUCCGUGCCAGCAGCCGCGGUAAUACGGAGGAUGCGAGCGUUAUCCGGAUUUAUUGGGUUUAAAGGGUGCGUAGGCGGGAGAAUAAGUCAGCGGUGAAAUUUCGAUGCUCAACAUUGAAACUGCCGUUGAAACUGUUUUUCUUGAGGGGAGACGAGGUAUGCGGAAUUCGUAGUGUAGCGGUGAAAUGCAUAGAUAUUACGAAGAACACCGAUAGCGCAGGCAGCAUACCAGGCUUCAACUGACGCUGAGGCACGAAAGUGUGGGAAUCAAACAGGAUUAGAUACCCUGGUAGUCCACACAGUAAACGAUGAUUACUAGUUGUAUGGUUGUAAAAUCAUGUGACUGCGCGAAAGCAUUAAGUAAUCCACCUGGGGAGUACGCCGGCAACGGUGAAACUCAAAGGAAUUGACGGGGGCCCGCACAAGCGGAGGAACAUGUGGUUUAAUUCGAUGAUACGCGAGGAACCUUACCCGGGCUUGAAAUGUAGAGGAAUAAGAUGGAAACGUUUUAGUCAGCAAUGACCUCUAUGUAGGUGCUGCAUGGUUGUCGUCAGCUCGUGCCGUGAGGUGUUGGGUUAAGUCCCGCAACGAGCGCAACCCCUACUGCCAGUUACUAACAGGUUAUGCUGAGGACUCUGGCGGAACUGCCGGUGACAAACCGGAGGAAGGUGGGGAUGACGUCAAGUCAUCAUGGCCCUUAUGUCCAGGGCUACACACGUGCUACAAUGGGUGGUACAAAGCGAUGCGAAACCGCGAGGUCUUAGCGAAGCGCAAAAAGCCAUCCGUAGUUCGGAUUGAAGUCUGAAACCCGACUUCAUGAAGUUGGAAUCGCUAGUAAUCGUACAUCAGCAUGGUACGGUGAAUACGUUCCCGGGCCUUGUACACACCGCCCGUCACACCAUCCGAGUUGGAGGUACCCAAAGCCGGUAGCUUAACCUGCAAAGGAGAGCGCUGUCUAAGGUAAAUUUAGUGAGGAGGGUGAAGUCGUAACAAGGUAGCCGUACUGGAAAGUGCGGCUG
This 1108-nucleotide ribosomal RNA is filed under the name termite gut metagenome. RNAcentral describes it as "bacterial SSU rRNA". It matches the Rfam family "Bacterial small subunit ribosomal RNA", at positions 414 to 1520 of the family's 1533-position model. The record is from RNAcentral.